UACGAAGGGGGCUAGCGUUGCUCGGAUUUACUGGGCGUAAAGGGCGCGUAGGCGGACAGUUAAGUCGGGGGUGAAAGCCCGGGGCUCAACCUCGGAAUUGCCUUCGAUACUGGCUGUCUUGAGUGCGGGAGAGGUGUGUGGAACUCCGAGUGUAGAGGUGAAAUUCGUAGAUAUUCGGAAGAACACCAGUGGCGAAGGCGACACACUGGCCCGUUACUGACGCUGAGGCGCGAAAGCGUGGGGAGCAAACAGG
This 253-nucleotide ribosomal RNA is filed under the name uncultured bacterium. RNAcentral describes it as "partial 16S ribosomal RNA". It matches the Rfam family "Bacterial small subunit ribosomal RNA", at positions 524 to 776 of the family's 1533-position model. The record is from RNAcentral.